Non-coding RNA from Cicer arietinum (chickpea), 934 nucleotides. The record is from RefSeq and is a predicted model, not a curated record. Lineage: Eukaryota; Viridiplantae; Streptophyta; Magnoliopsida; Fabales; Fabaceae.
ACAACAAAAACAAAUAUAUUAAAAAUACUUGUUAUAUUAAAAAUGCUUGAUUGUUGGACAUGGGUAACGAGAAUUUUAGAGAUAUCUGUACCACGAUCCCAACAUUAUUUUUCAGCAAUAGACCUACUCUGCCUCCUUUAGAAUUUGACGACCCAUCAACUAACACCGUCCAUUCUUGAGUCUUUCCUUCGUCCGGCACUGCCAUUUCUGCUAUGAAGUCGGUCGACGCUUGGGCUUUGAGUGCCUUUCUUGAUUCGAAGGUGAUAUCAAAUUCGGAUAGUUCUAUUGACCAUUUGGUUAUCCUCCUAAAUAGAUCGGGCCGAAACAAGAUCUACUUUAUGGGCAAAUUCGUGUGCAUCUUAAUCAGAUGGACGAGGAAAUACUGUCUUAGUCUCCCGGCUGCCAUCAUCAACACUAGUGCCACUUUCUAGAUUUUCUGAUAACGAAUCUCUAGUCCUUGUAGAGCUUUACUGACAAAGUAUACUAGUUGUUGCUCUUUGUCUAUUUUUCUGAUUAAUACAACACUUAUGGCUAGAUAGAUGAAUUAAGUUUCCCCCGGGUCUGGACGAGCCAAAAAAGGUGGCUGCGAUAGCGCGGUCCGUAACAUCUCAGGAUGGUUUUGCACUCUGUUUUCCACUCGAAUUCAACCUCUUUUUUCAGGAGCUUGUAAAAAGGUAAUCCGUGCUGGGCAGAUCUUGCAAUGAAGUGGGACAGCGCUGCCAACGUACCGUUGAGCUUCUUCUCCCACUACAACAAUUGAUAAUUCAAGGCAAUCAAUCCACAUCCACCAAUGCUUUUAUGGAAGGCCACAACCACAUCAAAUUGAGAAUAAUUGAAGGGUUCAUGGAUCUAGAAUAAAGAAUAGCUAACAAUAUUUCCAAAUUUUGUUAAUUAAUGAUAAAUCUUAUAUUAUCAAUGUGUUUUUGUUGUGUUC